UACGGAGGGUCCAAGCGUUAUCCGGAAUCACUGGGUUUAAAGGGUGCGUAGGCGGCGCUAUAAGUCAGAGGUGAAAGCCCACCGCUCAACGGUGGAAUUGCCUUUGAUACUGUAGUGCUUGAAUCAGGCUGAGGUUAGCGGAAUGUGUCAUGUAGCGGUGAAAUGCAUAGAUAUGACAUAGAACACCAAUUGCGAAGGCAGCUGACUAGACCUGCAUUGACGCUGAGGCACGAAAGCGUGGGGAGCGAACAGG
Molecule: ribosomal RNA, 253 nt
Filed under: uncultured bacterium
Lineage: Bacteria
Description: partial 16S ribosomal RNA
Rfam family: Bacterial small subunit ribosomal RNA
Source: RNAcentral